This 73-nucleotide transfer RNA is filed under the name Bos taurus (domestic cattle). It matches the Rfam family "tRNA". Rfam says of the family: Transfer RNA (tRNA) molecules are approximately 80 nucleotides in length. Their secondary structure includes four short double-helical elements and three loops (D, anti-codon, and T loops). RNAcentral also lists the same sequence under 5 other names. The record is from Rfam by way of RNAcentral. Lineage: Eukaryota; Metazoa; Chordata; Mammalia; Artiodactyla; Bovidae.
UCCCUGGUGGUCCAGUGGCUAAAACUCUGAGCUUCCAAUGCAGGGGGCCCGGGUUCAAUCCCUGGUCAGGAAA